AUGGUGGUGUCGGUGGUGCCGCCCGUGCCGGCGUUGGGCCGCGCCCGGAAAUUUGCUCCGGGUGGCCGGGGCCGACCGGUGUCAUUUCCCUCUGGGUCGUCGGGGUGGAUGCGCGUUGGUCGGCGCCGGCGGUGUGCGGGUCGGGGCCCGGCUCCUUGCCCCGAUCGUGGUCUCCUCGGUCCUUCCCCGUCCCCUGUGAUGUUGGAUUCGGUCGAUGUGGCGUCUCCGGUCGCUGGCCCUGUUCGCCCUCCUCCUCUCCGGCCAGGGCCGGCGCCGGUGGCGGCGGUCGCGCCGGCGUGUGCGGGGGCGGUUGGUGGCCUAACCCUAGAUCCGGUCUGCCCUGCGGUUGAGGUGGGCCUUGGUGGGCACUUGGGCCUGGUGGCGCCUGGUUCGAUUCGGGCUGGGCCGCCCGGGCCCCCGGUUUUGUCGUCCCUCGAGUCUUCUUCCCCCCUUCCGUCUAUGGGCCCAGGGCAGCUGGUUGUGGCCACUGCUUCGCGUCCGUCCCCUUCCCUGGCCUGCGGCCCCGUUUCGGCCCAUUCGGCCCUUUCUGGCCUUGCCUGUUGUGGCUAUAUAUGGGUGCGUCGCGGUGCCUCUCCCCCCUUCCUAGGGUUUCCUGCUUCCGCCGCCGAUAUCCGCAGGGCGCAUCGCCCUAUCCGCCAUUUCUCCAGAUCCGCUCCUUCCCCACCCCCUCUCCUCCUCUCCUCCGCUGAAGUGAUCGCCAUGGACAAAUCUAGGGGUUCCUCCUCUGAGGCCCUUUCGGGCAGCAAGCGGGCCCGUGAAGCUUCGCCGGGCAAUGGGGUCGAUCUGGCCUAUGAGGCGGAGCUGCGGUCGAAGCUCGAAUCUGAGCGGGCGGUGCGCGAGCGGUCGCGCGAGCGGGAGGAUUGGGAGGCGGGGCCGGAGCGCUCCGUGGCCAGAUCUGGGACGACGCUCCCUGGAUCUGGUGGUGCGGCGGGGUCGGGGCUAGAUCCGUGGGAGGCCGCUGUUGCUUCGGCUGGCGGUGGCUCCUCCUCGUCGGCGCCGCGUCCCGCUCCGGCCAGGGGCCCGGUCCCUCCGCCUCGGCCACCCCCUCGCUCGUUUGUGGCUGGCGCUGCCUCUCGCUCGGGGCCGCGCUUCGGGCCUGGCUCUUCCUCUUCGCAGGCUGGGGAGCGACGUCCUCCUCCUUCUGCUCCAGGUGCCCCUUCUGCGAUCCGUGGUGAUGGCAUCCUGCCGCCGCCGCCUCCCCCUCCCCGCCAGCAUCCUGUUUCCUCGGGCCCUUCUCCGACCCUGACUUGCUUUGCCUGCCACCGCCCGAACCACUUCCAAUCUAGAUGCACUAACCCACCCUUCUGCCUCAUUUUUCGCUCCGAUGGUCAUCUUACUGUGGACUGCCGUAACCGUACCAAGAGCCCCUCCUUCAUACAGUUUGGCUUGGGUUUACCUAGAUGCUCGUUCUUCGCUCUGGAUGCUGAUGUUCCUGUGGUGAUGGCUGCGCCGUCCCUCUCUAACGCGGCCAUCAUCACGGUGUGUGGCCAGAUGAUUUCUCCGCAGACCCUCCUGGAAGGUUUGAAAAUAUGGGACAACGGUGGCUGGGACUGGCAGGUGCGCCAGCUUUCAGAGUAUGAAUUUGCAGUGGUUUUCCCCUCCAAGGACUGUCUAAGGAUGAUCUCCUCGUGCACCAGUUUUACUCUCCCCCUGAACCAGCUUGUGGUAUCUGUCAAAGCGGCUACUUGUGGUGCAAAGGCGGUGGGCCCUCUCAGCAAGAUUUGGGUGCUAGUUGACGACUUGCCAGUUGGGCUUCGAUCUGUGGAGUUCAUGAUGGCGUUUGGUAAGCUCAUUGGCAAGCCUUUGGAAGUGGAUUCGGAAUCUUUGGGCAAGGUUGAUCCGGUUCGUCUCAAUGUAUGA
RNAcentral lists this ribosomal RNA (1881 nucleotides) under Triticum aestivum (bread wheat). Its description in RNAcentral is "partial small subunit ribosomal RNA". Lineage: Eukaryota; Viridiplantae; Streptophyta; Magnoliopsida; Poales; Poaceae. The record is from RNAcentral.